Non-coding RNA from Triticum aestivum (bread wheat), 135 nucleotides. The record is from Rfam. NCBI's taxonomy places the organism in Eukaryota, Viridiplantae, Streptophyta, Magnoliopsida, Poales, Poaceae.
AUACUACUUCCUCCGUCCGGAAAUAUUUGUUAUUAAAAUGGAUAAAAGAAGAUGUAUCUAAACGUAUUUUAAUUUUAGAUACAUUCAUUUUUAUUUGUUUUGAUGACAAGUAUUUUCGGACGGAAAGAGUAAUAC